CACGGUCGUAGUUGGUUUUUAUCUUCAAAAAUACACGGAUAAUAUAUUUAAUCAAUCAAUAUUUAUAUACAAGGAGUUUGGAUUGGGUUUACAGAAUAGAGAAUAAUGGACGAAAAAAUAAAUAAAGAAUGAUAUGGGCGAGAAAAAUAAAGAAUAAAGAAAUAUGACCAAAAUAAAUAUAAAGAAUAGUGAAAUAGGGACUGGUAAAAUAUAUCGAAUAGAGAAAUAUACGGCUGCUUAAAUAUAAGGAAUUAAGAAUUAUGGGAUGUUAAACUAUAAAAAAAUUAUAGAGGAAUACAAACAAAUAUGACUGUAUAUAAUUGCAGUAGCAUUUUUUGUUUGUUUGUGCACGUGCAAGAAUUAUGUCCGUGCAGAGAAACAAGAACCGGUUUGAACCGGUAUAAAUGAGAUGAUUCUGGCUCUGUAGGUGGCCGGCUCUUAGCAUACGGUCC
This 452-nucleotide long non-coding RNA is filed under the name Mytilus galloprovincialis (Mediterranean mussel). Lineage: Eukaryota; Metazoa; Mollusca; Bivalvia; Mytilida; Mytilidae. The record is from RNAcentral.